GCAAAGGUAGCAUAGUCAUUAGUUCUUUAAUUGUGAUCUGGUAUGAAUGGCUUGACGAGGCAUGGGCUGUCUUAAUUUUUAACUGUUUAUUGAAUUUGGUCUUUGAGUUAAAAUUCUUAGAUGUUUUUAUGGGACGAGAAGACCCUAUAGAGUUUAACAUUUGUUAUGGUCCCCUUUCUGUUUGUGAGGGUUCAUCGGGCCGUUUAAUAUGUUUUGUUGGGGUGAUGGGAGGGAUUAAUUUAACCCCUCCUUUUUAUUAUUAUAUUUAUUUAUAUUUACUUGAUCCAUUUAUUUUGAUUGUAAGAUUAAAUUACCUUAGGGAUAACAGCGUUAUCUUCCUUGAGAGUUCUUAUCGGCAGGGGGGUUUGCG
This 370-nucleotide ribosomal RNA is filed under the name Reticulitermes kanmonensis. Its description in RNAcentral is "partial 16S ribosomal RNA". It matches the Rfam family "Bacterial large subunit ribosomal RNA", at positions 1950 to 2522 of the family's 2925-position model. Lineage: Eukaryota; Metazoa; Arthropoda; Insecta; Blattodea; Rhinotermitidae. The record is from RNAcentral.